RNAcentral lists this ribosomal RNA (496 nucleotides) under uncultured bacterium. RNAcentral's name for it is "partial 16S ribosomal RNA". It matches the Rfam family "Bacterial small subunit ribosomal RNA", at positions 28 to 506 of the family's 1533-position model. The record is from RNAcentral.
GAUGAACGCUGGCGGCGUGCCUAAUACAUGCAAGUCGAGCGAACAGACGAGGAGCUUGCUCCUCUGACGUUAGCGGCGGACGGGUGAGUAACACGUGGAUAACCUACCUAUAAGACUGGGAUAACUUCGGGAAACCGGAGCUAAUACCGGAUAAUAUAUUGAACCGCAUGGUUCAAUAGUGAAAGACGGUUUUGCUGUCACUUAUAGAUGGAUCCGCGCCGCAUUAGCUAGUUGGUAAGGUAACGGCUUACCAAGGCAACGAUGCGUAGCCGACCUGAGAGGGUGAUCGGCCACACUGGAACUGAGACACGGUCCAGACUCCUCCGGGAGGCAGCAGUAGCGAAUCUUCCGCAAUGGGCGAAAGCCUGACGGAGCAACGCCGCGUGAGUGAUGAAGGUCUUCGGAUCGUAAAACUCUGUUAUUAGGGAAGAACAAAUGUGUAAGUAACGAUGCACGUCUUGACGGUACCUAAGCAGAACGCCACGGCUAACUACGU